AUACGUAGGGGGCGAGCGUUGUCCGGAAUUAUUGGGCGUAAAGGGUUCGUAGGCGGUUAUUUAAGUCAGGUGUGAAAGGCAUAGGCUCAACCUGUGUAAGCACUUGAAACUGAAUGACUUGAGUUAAGGAGAGGAAAGUGGAAUUCCUAGUGUAGCGGUGAAAUGCGUAGAUAUUAGGAGGAACACCAGUAGCGAAGGCGGCUUUCUGGACUGUAACUGACACUGAGGCACGAAAGCGUGGGGAGC
RNAcentral lists this ribosomal RNA (246 nucleotides) under uncultured bacterium. RNAcentral's name for it is "partial 16S ribosomal RNA". It matches the Rfam family "Bacterial small subunit ribosomal RNA", at positions 523 to 769 of the family's 1533-position model. The record is from RNAcentral.